Molecule: ribosomal RNA, 548 nt
Filed under: uncultured bacterium
Lineage: Bacteria
Description: bacterial SSU rRNA
Rfam family: Bacterial small subunit ribosomal RNA
Source: RNAcentral
CUAAGAAUCUUCCGCAAUGGACGAAAGUCUGACGGAGCGACGCCGUGUGAAUGAGGAAGGCCGAAAGGUUGUAAAAUUCUUUUGCAGAUGAAGAAUAAGAAGAAGAGGGAAUGCUUCUUUGAUGACGGUAAUCAUGCGAAUAAGCCCCGGCUAAUUACGUGCCAGCAGCCGCGGUAACACGUAAGGGGCGAGCGUUGUUCGGAAUUAUUGGGCGUAAAGGGUAUGUAGGCGGUUAGGUAAGCCUGGUGUGAAAUCUACGAGCUCAACUCGUAAACUGCAUUGGGUACUGCUUGACUUGAAUCACGGAGGGGAAACCGGAAUUCCAAGUGUAGGGGUGGAAUCUGUAGAUAUUUGGAAGAACACCGGUGGCGAAGGCGGGUUUCUGGCCGAUGAUUGACGCUGAUAUACGAAGGUGCGGGGAGCAAACAGGAUUAGAUACCCUGGUAGUCCGCACAGUAAACGAUGUACACUAGGUGUCGGGGCAAGAGCUUCGGUGCCGUAAGCAAACGCAUUAAGUGUACCGCCUGGGAAGUAUGCCCGCAAGGGUG